CAGUAGCCACGGUAAAACAGAGGGUGCGAGCGUUAAUCGGAUUUACUGGGCGUAAAGCGUGCGUAGGCGGCUAAUUGAGUCGGAUGUGAAAUCCCCGGGCUUAACCUGGGAACUGCAUUUGUGACUGACGGGCUAGAGUAUGGCAGAGGGGGGUAGAAUUCCACGUGUAGCAGUGAAAUGCGUAGAGAUGUGGAGGAAUACCGAUGGCGAAGGCAGCCCCCUGGGCCAAUACUGACGCUCAUGCACGAAAGCGUGGGGAGCAAACAGGAUUAGAUACCCCAGUAGUCCCUGUCUCUUAUAC
This 301-nucleotide ribosomal RNA is filed under the name uncultured bacterium. RNAcentral describes it as "partial 16S ribosomal RNA". It matches the Rfam family "Bacterial small subunit ribosomal RNA", at positions 509 to 807 of the family's 1533-position model. The record is from RNAcentral.